RNAcentral lists this ribosomal RNA (254 nucleotides) under uncultured bacterium. Its description in RNAcentral is "partial 16S ribosomal RNA". It matches the Rfam family "Bacterial small subunit ribosomal RNA", at positions 524 to 776 of the family's 1533-position model. The record is from RNAcentral.
UACGAGUGCCCCGAGCGUUAUCCGGAAUUAUUGGGCGUAAAGCGUGUGUAGGUGGUCAUGUUAGUCUCCUGCGAAAUUCUUCGGCUUAACCGGGGCAUGAUGGGAGAAACGGCAUGACUUAGAGGGUGCGAGGGGUCUGUAGAAUUCUAGGUGUAGGGGUGAAAUCCGUUGAUAUCUAGGAGAAUACCAAAAGCGAAGGCAGCAGACUGGCGCAUUCCUGACACUGAGACACUAAAGCGUGGGUAGCGAAUGGG